Molecule: non-coding RNA, 255 nt
Filed under: Desulfosporosinus lacus DSM 15449
Lineage: Bacteria; Bacillati; Bacillota; Clostridia; Eubacteriales; Desulfitobacteriaceae
Source: RNAcentral
AAAGUCCUUGUUGGGCAAGGCCUAAACCAGCCACACAUAUCGAGUGUUGCGCCGAAACUGGUAACAGCAAUGAAGUGUACACAGAGAACCAUAUAGGCCAUAAGGAGGACCAUAACUCCUGAAGCACAUUCAGCCUCGUUAACGUGUGUUCGCAAACGGACAAAGUGCAGGUAACCACGUGUUUAACGUCACGGAAGUCAAUAUAAAGGAAUCAUUAAAGGUGAGACUCCGGAGGCCUGUCGGGGUCAGAGAACA